RNAcentral lists this ribosomal RNA (468 nucleotides) under uncultured bacterium. Its description in RNAcentral is "partial 16S ribosomal RNA". It matches the Rfam family "Bacterial small subunit ribosomal RNA", at positions 28 to 507 of the family's 1533-position model. The record is from RNAcentral.
GACGAACGCUGGCGGCGUGCUUAACACAUGCAAGUCGAACGGAAAGGCCCUGCUUUUGUGGGGUGCUCGACUGGCAACCGGGUGCGUAACACGAACGUAACCUGCCCCUGACUUUGGGAUAACUUCAGGAAACUGGGGCUAAUACCGAUUCCGCGCUCCUGCUGCAUGGUGGGGGUUGGAAAGUUUCGGAGGUUGGGGAUGGACUCGCGGCUUAUCAGCUUGUUGGUGUGGUAGUGGCUUACCAAGGCUUUGACGGGUAGCUCGCCUGAGAGGGUGACCGGCAACAUGGGGAAAGAGAUACGGCACGGAGUACUACGGGAGGCAGCAGUGGGGAAUAGUGCAUGAUGGGCGGAAGCCGGGUGCAGCAACGCCGCGUUCGGGAUGAUGGCCUUCUGUUUGGAGGCCGCUUUCGCCUGUGAGUGAGCGUGAGUGACGGUAAUGGGUAAAGAAGGACCGGCUAAUUACGUG